CCCUUAGACACUCUAGGCGGCACGCGCGCUACAAUGGGUGGAAGAACGUGUUACUGCCUCCGAAAGGAGGGGUGAAUCACGAAUUCUUGCCCGUGAGUGGGAUAGUUUGUUGCAAUUUUCGGACUUGAACUAGGAAUCCCUUGUAAACAUGCUCAAGAAUAGCGUGUUGAAUACGUCCCUGCCGUUUGUACACACCGCCCGUCGUUUCUUCCGACUGAUACUCAUUGUGAGUUGCAAGGACCCUUUAUUGGGAAAUUGCUGCAAAUGCUUUGUAUUGGAGGAAGAAAAAGUCGUAACA
RNAcentral lists this ribosomal RNA (298 nucleotides) under uncultured eukaryote. RNAcentral describes it as "partial 18S ribosomal RNA". It matches the Rfam family "Eukaryotic small subunit ribosomal RNA", at positions 1470 to 1796 of the family's 1831-position model. The record is from RNAcentral.